AGUGUUCUACGGCAGUUACACACAGGCAGUGGUAUCUGUGAGCAGCUCUGUGGACUCAAAGGUUUUCUCCCUGAGAGGCAUGACCCAGGCCAGCUGAUUCAUCAGAGUCAGGAUGGACGUGGUAGAGGUCGCGGGUAGUUGGUGGGCACAAGAGCGAGAGGACAUCAUUAUGAAAUACGAAAAGGGACACCGAGCUGGGCUGCCAGAGGACAAGGGGCCUAAGUCUUUUGGAAGCUACAACAACAACGUCGAUCAUUUGGGGAUUGUACAUGAGACGGAGCUGCCUCCUCUGACUGCGCGGGAGGUGAAGCAAAUUCGGCGGGAGAUCAGCCGAAAGAGCAAGUGGGUGAAAAUGCUGGGAGAAUGGGACACCUACAAAAACAGCAGAAAGCUCAUAGAUCGAGCGUACCAGGGAAUUCCCAUGAACAUCCGGGGCCCGAUGUGGUCAGUCCUCCUGAACAUUGAGGAAAUCAAGUUGAAAAACCCCGGAAGAUACCAGAUCAUGAAGGAGAAGGGCAAGAGGUCAUCUGAACACAUCCAGCAGAUGGACCUGGACGUAAGCGGGACAUUAAGGAGGCAUAUAUUCUUCAGGGAUCGAUACGGAACCAAGCAGCGGGAACUACUUUACAUCCUCCUGGCGUAUGAGGAGUAUAACCCGGAGGUGGGCUACUGCAGGGACCUGAGCCACAUCGCCGCCUUGUUCCUCCUUUAUCUUCCUGAGGAGGAUGCAUUCUGGGCACUGGUGCAGCUGCUGGCCAGUGAGAGGCACUCCCUGCAGGGAUUUCACAGCCCAAAUGGCGGGACCGUCCAGGGGCUCCAAGACCAACAGGAGCAUGUGGUAGCCACGUCACUACCCAACACCAUGUGGCAUCAGAGCGCCUCACGAAGACGUCCAGGUGUGGCCCGUGGGCACGUUUUUGGAACCGGUUCGUUGAUGCCUGGGCCAGGGAUGAUGACACUGUGCUCAAGCAUCUUAGGGCCUCUAUGAAGAAACUAACAAGAAAGCAGGGGGACCUGCCACCCCCAGCCAAACCCGAGCAAGGGUCGUCGGCAUCCAGGCCUGUGCCAGCUUCACGUGGCGGGAAGACCCUCUGCAAGGGGGACAGGCAGGCCCCUCCAGGCCCACCAGCCCGGUUCCCAUGGCCCAUUUGGUCAGCUUCCCCGCCACGGGCACCUCGUUCUUCCACACCCUGUCCUGGUGGGGCUGUCCGGGAAGACACCUACCCUGUGGGCACUCAGGGUGUGCCCAGCCCGGCCCUGGCUCAGGGAGGACCUCAGGGUUCCUGGAGAUUCCUGCAGUGGAACUCCAUGCCCCGCCUCCCAACGGACCUGGACGUAGGGGACCCUUGGUUCCGCCGUUAUGAUUUCAGACAGAGCUGCUGGGUCCGUGCCAUAUCCCAGGAGGACCAGCCGGCCACCUGCUGGCAGGCUGAACACCCUGCGGAGCGGGUGAGAUCGGCUUUCACUGCACUGAGCCACAACGUGGGCAUGGACUUCCCGGCCCUGCAGUGCGCCCAGCACUGAUUCCGACCAGGGCACCCCCUUCAGAGCUAGGGACGAACAGCAGUGUGCUCCCACCUCAGGACCUUGCCUCUGCGGCCUCCACUUGGAAAGUUCUCAGUUCCCUCCAGGCUUCUAGAAGCAUCUGGGCCAGGGCUCAUGGCUGGAUAAUUUCCCUAGGCUUAACAACCCAAGCAAGCUUCGCCUCCUCGUUUUAUUUUUUGUUAAACUUAUGAGAAUGUGUUAAGAAAGAGUGCAGCUCGAGAGACAUUCAGAGAUGGAACACACCAGACCCCAGAUCACAAAGCCAACCAUGCCCAGCCCCUCCCAACACCCCCAGCCCCACGACCAUCGUUCUGAAUUCUGACGACGCCGUGAGCCUGCCUUUGUACUUUAAACUCAUGGAAGGAUAACCACCUUCACGUUUUGAAAUAAAUGUUUCCUGUUG
This 1948-nucleotide long non-coding RNA is filed under the name Homo sapiens (human). RNAcentral describes it as "non-protein coding lnc-RNFT1-2:1". The record is from RNAcentral. Lineage: Eukaryota; Metazoa; Chordata; Mammalia; Primates; Hominidae.